AUUAUCAGUCUUGUUACAAGGUUGUUCUAACAAGUCUGAUACAGUCAUGAUAUAACAAGGAUGUUGCACGGUUGACAACAGAAGGUUGUAACAAUAUUGUUAUAUCGUCACUGUAUCAGACUUGUUGGAACAACCUUGCAACAAGUCUGAUAAU
Non-coding RNA from Paramuricea clavata, 154 nucleotides. The record is from the annotation of a GenBank genome assembly. NCBI's taxonomy places the organism in Eukaryota, Metazoa, Cnidaria, Anthozoa, Malacalcyonacea, Plexauridae.